AAUAAGAUGCCUGAAAAAGGAUUAUUUUGAUAGAAUAAAUUAUACAUAAUUUUAUGUUCUUAUUA
RNAcentral lists this transfer RNA (65 nucleotides) under Kolla paulula. RNAcentral's name for it is "tRNA-Ile". The record is from RNAcentral. Lineage: Eukaryota; Metazoa; Arthropoda; Insecta; Hemiptera; Cicadellidae.